GUUUUAAUAAUUUAAUAAAAAUAUUGGUCUUGUAAAUCAAAAAUAAAAUACGUUUUUUAAAACU
This 64-nucleotide transfer RNA is filed under the name Phyllodromia melanocephala. RNAcentral's name for it is "tRNA-Thr". The record is from RNAcentral. Lineage: Eukaryota; Metazoa; Arthropoda; Insecta; Diptera; Empididae.